AACAGGCUUAUCUCCCCCAAGAGUCCACAUCGACGGGGAGGUUUGGCACCUCGAUGUCGGCUCAUCACAUCCUGGGGCUGUAGUAGGUCCCAAGGGUUGGGCUGUUCGCCCAUUAAAGUGGUACGCGAGCUGGGUUCAGAACGUCGUGAGACAGUUCGGUCCCUAUCCGUCGCAGGCGUAGGAAAUUUGAGAAGACCUGUCCUUAGUACGAGAGGACCGGGAUGGACGUACCUCUGGUGUACCAGUUGUCCUGCCAAGGGCAUGGCUGGGUAGCUAUGUACGGAAUGGAUAAGCGCUGAAAGCAUCUAAGCGCGAAGCCAACUUCAAGAUAAGAUUUCCCACCGCAAGGGUAAGACCCCAGAAAGACUAUCUGGUUGAUAGGUCGAAGGUGUAAGUGCAGCAAUGUAUUUAGCUUAUCGAUACUAAUAGGUCGAGGACUUGACCAAU
This 447-nucleotide ribosomal RNA is filed under the name Clostridioides difficile. Its description in RNAcentral is "bacterial LSU rRNA". It matches the Rfam family "Bacterial large subunit ribosomal RNA", at positions 2476 to 2925 of the family's 2925-position model. The record is from RNAcentral. Lineage: Bacteria; Bacillati; Bacillota; Clostridia; Peptostreptococcales; Peptostreptococcaceae.